This 484-nucleotide ribosomal RNA is filed under the name uncultured bacterium. RNAcentral's name for it is "partial 16S ribosomal RNA". It matches the Rfam family "Bacterial small subunit ribosomal RNA", at positions 30 to 507 of the family's 1533-position model. The record is from RNAcentral.
AUUGAACGCUGGCGGCAUGCCUUACACAUGCAAGUCGAACGGCAGCGCGGACUUCGGUCUGGCGGCGAGUGGCGAACGGGUGAGUAAUACAUCGGAACGUACCCUGUUGUGGGGGAUAACUAGUCGAAAGAUUAGCUAAUACCGCAUACGACCUGAGGGUGAAAGUGGGGGACCGCAAGGCCUCACGCAGCAGGGGCGGCCGAUGUCUGAUUAGCUAGUUGGUGGGGUAAAGGCCCACCAAGGCGACGAUCAGUAGCUGGUCUGAGAGGACGAUCAGCCACACUGGGACUGAGACACGGCCCAGACUCCUACGGGAGGCAGCAGUGGGGAAUUUUGGACAAUGGGGGCAACCCUGAUCCAGCAAUGCCGCGUGUGUGAAGAAGGCCUUCGGGUUGUAAAGCACUUUUGUCCGGAAAGAAAUCGCGCUGGUUAAUACCUGGCGUGGAUGACGGUACCGGAAGAAUAAGCACCGGCUAACUACGUG